RNAcentral lists this unclassified non-coding RNA (1899 nucleotides) under Leishmania donovani. RNAcentral's name for it is "gene:LdHU3.13.1120(CDS-product:hypothetical_prote in_conserved)". The record is from RNAcentral. Lineage: Eukaryota; Euglenozoa; Kinetoplastea; Trypanosomatida; Trypanosomatidae.
CUGCUUCUCUCUCUGCACAAGCUCGAGUCUCUCUUCACUAACGUUCUGCACGCCGUGUCGCCUUCCGUGCCCUCGAAGGGGGCACACCGUGUCUUUGGCCCUCCUCCCCAUCUGCUCACUGGCUGGAAAAGCACGUGCUACCCGCUCCUGCUUCCAUCGAAGAAGCGCCGGGGCACACACCUGCGUGCGUGUCUUUCGCUUAGCGAGAGGGAGGAGGCGUGCGUGCGCACGCGCACCGUGACACGCACGGACGCGCAUACGGCGCGCAUCACGAGUGCUGGUGCGUAGCGCAACAGAAAUCGCCGAGAAGAGAAGGGGAGGGAGGGGGCGCUGUCGCGACUUUCUUCGCGCCAUCCCCUCCGCCAUUUCUCUGAGAGCCAUGCGCUACCGGCAAUGCCAGCACCACUUCACCGACAGGGAUCAGCAGGCCAAGGCGCUCAUCAACUGCAAUGACGUGCUGAGCACGAGUGAGCAGGAGGAGGUCAUCGCCUACUUUGCCCGCUCCCUGCGGGGCAGUGCGCAGCUAUUAAAGGUUGUUGUCUGCCUCCAGGCGAUGCUGGCGUUGGUGUACACGCUCCUCCUGCUGAGCGGCUCCUUGCUGAUCGACGUGUCCGUCGAUAUGGCAGCGGCCGCGAGUCUCGUACAGCUAGCCCAGCAACACAAGCAAGGCUCACCGGAGCCAGCGACAGCUGCGCUGGAGUUGACAGCACCGUCACAAACUCUUGUCGAAGCGCUGGCGGCGCUGGACGCGGAGCAGCGUGCCGCACAGCGCAAGUACGUGCAUGAGUACAUGAACCGCCGCACGGCCGCCGGGGUCAACGUGCGAUCCGGCGGAGCGGUGACACUCCUCUCCGCCUUGGUGGUGCUCUACAGCAUUGCGCUGCUGUUGUGGGCGGGGUACAGCUGCUACGUGGCGUGUCGCCGACUUACUGUAAACGUCGAGGACCUCACACGGACGGAGCCCCGGGACCUGCAUAGGCGCCGCCCCGAGGAGGGCCCUUCAGCCGAAGCGCCGGCCGCGAAGCCGCGGGGCGCCCUCCGCCACCUGCGCCGGCGUGUCAAGACGGAUCCGGCGGUUGCCCUGUACGCCGCAGCAGCCUUUGCCAGCCUUGGCUCGCUGUUCUGGGUGGCCGCCUUGGUGCAUCGCCAGCGCACCACACAGAGAGCCUACGCGGAUCUUGGGCUGCAGCCGCCGUCGGUGCUAUCGCUGCAGAGCAUCACCAACGCGGCGCUCGAGUACGUGCUGGCCGUGUGGCAGCCACUCUUCCACCUUGGUAUUGGGCUGCUGGUGCGCUCGAUGCUCGACACCCGAGACAACUUGGUGGCCCUGUCGAAGCUCAAGUACCGUUUCGAAAAGGUAUGAGACGGCGCUGCAAUGUGGAGGAGAUGGAAGCAGGGGGAGAGUGUAAAGAGAAUGGGAAGUAGGGAAGGCGAGGGAGGAGGGGGGCGACUACGGCGGGGCGGCAAGAGCAAGCGAUGGAAGCUGUGACGUGGAGGAUGCGCGACAGCGUGUACGUGCGUCGAAUGUUUGUCCCUCACACGCCGCAGUCCCAGGCUGCUACUCUGUACCACCCCCACAUUCCCACGCCCUCUCACGCUCUGCUGACCGUUCUCCCUGCGUGUGCGCGUGCGUCUGUCCGUCUGUACGCGCGUGCACAGGCUCCUCUCCAUCACCUCUCUGGUCGGCUGUCUGUCUGCCUGCCUGCCCCGCUCGUUAUCGUUGCUGCUGCUCCUGACGCAUCUGCGCUCACCAUCGGGUGCCAGAACGCCUCUGCGCGUGUCUGCACCUGGGGCUGGGUCUCUGUGUGUCUGCGUAGGCUGCGGUUUACGGGGAUAUACACGUACAUACAUAUUUAUCGUCUUUGCUGUUGUCGUCGUCACAUGCCCGACCCGCGCAUC